AUUGAACGCUGGUGGUAUGCUUAACACAUGCAAGUCGAACGGCAGCAUGAUCUUGCUUGCAAGAUUGAUGGCGAGUGGCGGACGGGUGAGUAAGCAUAGGAAUCUACCCUAGAGUGGGGGAUAACGGAGGGAAACUUUCGCUAAUACCGCAUAAUGCCUGAGGGCUAAAAGCUGCGCAAGCAGCUGCUUUAGGAGGAGCCUAUGUCAGAUUAGCUAGAUGGUAGGGUAAAAGCCUACCAUGGCGACGAUCUGUAGCUGUUCUGAGAGGAAAAUCAGCCACACUGGGACUGAGACACGGCCCAG
This 303-nucleotide ribosomal RNA is filed under the name uncultured bacterium. Its description in RNAcentral is "bacterial SSU rRNA". It matches the Rfam family "Bacterial small subunit ribosomal RNA", at positions 30 to 334 of the family's 1533-position model. The record is from RNAcentral.